CCUACGGGAGGCUGCAGUAGGGAAUCUUCCACAAUGGGCGAAAGCCUGAUGGAGCAACGCCGCGUGGGUGAAGAAGGUCCUCGGAUCGUAAAACCCUGUUGUUAGAGAAGUAAGUCCGUGCGAGUAACUGUUCCCGCUUCGACGGUAUCUAUCCAGACAGCCACGGCUAAUUACGUGCCAGCAGCCGCGGUAAUACGUAGGUGGCAAGAGUUAUCCGGUUUUAUUGGGCGUAAAGGGAACGUGGGCGGGCUUUUAAGUCUGAUGUGAAAGCCGUCGGCUUAACCGGAGUAGUGCAUUUGAAACUGGAAGACUUGAGUGCAGAAGAGGGAGGUGGAACUCGAGGUGUAGCGGUGAAAUGCGUAGAUA
Molecule: ribosomal RNA, 366 nt
Filed under: uncultured bacterium
Lineage: Bacteria
Description: partial 16S ribosomal RNA
Rfam family: Bacterial small subunit ribosomal RNA
Source: RNAcentral